RNAcentral lists this ribosomal RNA (252 nucleotides) under uncultured bacterium. RNAcentral describes it as "partial 16S ribosomal RNA". It matches the Rfam family "Bacterial small subunit ribosomal RNA", at positions 525 to 776 of the family's 1533-position model. The record is from RNAcentral.
ACGAAGGGGGCGAGCGUUAUUCGGAAUCACUGGGCGUAAAGGGAGCGCAGGCGGUUUAUUUAGUCAGACGUGAAAGCCCCGGGCUCAACCCGGGAGGUGCGUUUGAUACUGGUAAACUAGAAAUCAGAAGAGGAUAGUGGAAUUCCCAGUGUAGAGGUGAAAUUCGUAGAUAUUGGGAAGAACACCAGUGGCGAAAGCGGCUAUCUGGUCUGUAUUUGACGCUGAGGCUCGAAAGCGUGGGGAGCAAACAGG